GUUUGAAGACCUCCGCUCUAGAGAAGUCAGGGUUUUAACAGGGAUAAGAUGGGGAAAUGUAACGUGGCCCUCAAAAUGAAACAUGUUGCAAUUAAUUAUUAUAUUCUUUAAGCUCUUAAACUUUAAAAAUGGGGCUGUCGGCGCAGUGAUUAGCUUUAAUGUAGAUUAUGUUAGUUCAGCGCUAUGCAGCUUUACCCACCUCAGGAGGAUGGAAAGCUGAGUCAACCUUCAGCCUGGUGAGAUUUGAACUGCCAAAUUGCAGGCAGCCAGCAGAAAUAGCCAGUACUGCACUCUAACCACUGCACUACCACGGCUCCUAAUAUCUCCUGAACAAUCAGUUAAUGGAGAUGAAUAAUCUGUAAAGCAAAGGGAUAGAGGUCUACGGAGAUUCUCAGUCAUCCAGGUCAUGAUUGUCUCAAAGGAACAUCCAUUCUUUCAUUCAAACCAAACAGUAGGCUGCAAAGUGCAAUUUCAGAUCAGGCCAUCCCAGUUCUCCUCGCUCUUUUGCAUCCUGAAAGGACACCACUGGGUCACCUCUGCUGUUUCCUCUCAUAACCCUCAGACAUAUUCCAGAGAAGAAGUUAAAUAUACGUAUCUUCCCAUCAGCACAGCCACUGAUGACUCUGAGAUAAACAAAGGCCAGCG
Long non-coding RNA from Pantherophis guttatus, 645 nucleotides. RefSeq lists it as uncharacterized. The record is from RefSeq and is a predicted model, not a curated record. Lineage: Eukaryota; Metazoa; Chordata; Lepidosauria; Squamata; Colubridae.